Hibiscus syriacus is the source of this 86-nucleotide long non-coding RNA. RefSeq lists it as uncharacterized. The record is from RefSeq and is a predicted model, not a curated record. The transcript has 3 exons. NCBI's taxonomy places the organism in Eukaryota, Viridiplantae, Streptophyta, Magnoliopsida, Malvales, Malvaceae.
GAGAAAGAGUAAGAGAAAUAAACAACCAUGGAUUUCGACACCCAAUCUCUUGAAAACCCUGGAAUCAAAUCAACUGAAGAACAAAG